Molecule: small RNA, 76 nt
Filed under: Epilithonimonas zeae
Lineage: Bacteria; Pseudomonadati; Bacteroidota; Flavobacteriia; Flavobacteriales; Weeksellaceae
Description: Chryseobacterium zeae Flavo-1 RNA
Rfam family: Flavo-1 RNA
Source: RNAcentral
AAUUACCCCCGAUUGCAACGGUAUCCUUUUUCUUUUUUCUCAAAAAAGAUAUAUAUAUUGGAAAGCGAGUUUAAGC